CUGACAGUGAGAACAAGUGGUGGUGAGGGCUCUGCACUUACAGAAGGUUGGAGCAUAAUCAAGAGGUCAUUCUCAGAGUUGGUGAUCCUGAAGGGUCUGUUCGCCUCCCAGUCACCAUCUGCUUUAACAGGCUCGAAGUCUCUUGAAAGUACAGUGACUUGGCCAGUGAGGUGGUCAAUGCAUUUUUGACCACCCCCUUCUCCAACCUUUUCUAUUAAAGCAACCUGGCUUCCAUAAUCCACAUAGGUUUACCUUGUUUACCAUUGGUGAUGUACCAGAUAUUUAACUACAUCUAAUCAGGAUGCAGCAGUCGCCUGCAAAGUGGGUGGGGUGCCCAAUGCUCAGCACCCUGACCAUCACAACUUCUGAAAGGAAGUCACAUGAAUGUUGACAGUCUGGAGGAGCAAGAGGAAGCAGGUGCUCAUCUAAAGCAUUGAUGAGUGCUGGAACCUCGUUGUUCUUGGCCAUGCCCUUUUUACAGCACCUUGCUGUCCUGAGGUAUUCAACUUACCGAGUCAGCUCUCCUUUGUCCCCAAAGGAUGAGAACUUUUGGAAGGUGACAGCAAAAGAAAUUUUCAAGCUCAGCAAACUUGGAGAAAAGGAGAGGUGAGUUGAAUUAGUGCAAGUGCCUACAUCAACUGACAUCAAUUAAACAAUAUAGGAGGGAGGUGUUGGAAUUCAUCUUUCAAGAAGAUUCAGGGCUGCCAACACUGGGAUAACCAGUGUACACCACCUUGCAGGCCUACAAAAAGAGUUCAUGGAGUGGCAAGCCAUGAACUGAAGUUGGAUGGUGCCCAUGUGGAAGAAGGGCAAGGAGGGAGGAAAUGGGGGAUAUGGGAGUGAGGAUGGGGAGGAGUUUGGCCAGGGUCACAAUGUCAGUUCUUCAGCUCUAGGAUGGGAGAAGAUGAUGAGGAGGAUGGUGAGGAGGAUGGCAAGUAAGGGGGUGGUGCGGGCUUGAUUGGUGCUUGGGGGAUGAAAUAGAGAAUUUUGUAUAUAGGCUCUAAAUGGAUAUGCAAUUACUAUCCAUUGCAGUAUUUCAG
This 1040-nucleotide small RNA is filed under the name Cryptococcus neoformans H99. RNAcentral's name for it is "Cryptococcus neoformans var. grubii H99 hypothetical RNA". The record is from RNAcentral. Lineage: Eukaryota; Fungi; Basidiomycota; Tremellomycetes; Tremellales; Cryptococcaceae.